Molecule: small RNA, 5015 nt
Filed under: Arabidopsis thaliana (thale cress)
Lineage: Eukaryota; Viridiplantae; Streptophyta; Magnoliopsida; Brassicales; Brassicaceae
Description: ATSL187470
Source: RNAcentral
UAGGUUAGCUUUGAUAUAUACGUAUCGUAUGUUAGAGUAAAAUUCUUUUAGAGGUAAUGGAGAAAGUGUUUAAGUGUUUUGAGAGAGUUUUUUAGGAAAUAGAACUUUUAUUACUUUGCUUUAAACUUGAAUACAACUUCACAACAUUGCAACAUUUGAGAGGGGGAGGAGGUAUUUAUAGCCUCCAAACUACAAAAUAUCUAAAAUAUUUUAAUCCUAAGUCUAGAGAGUUCUUACAUAAGAUCUAGAUUACAUUAUUCAAAUUAUCUAGAUUAUUCUAUUAGAGUAUCUAGAUUUUUAUGUUUAAGGAGGUGGAAGAUGAUUCUAGAAAAUUUCUAGAAUCUUUUAAGGAGGUGGAAAUGAUGAUAUUUCUAGAGAAAACUCUAGAACUUGGAUUUGGCCAUAAUUAAUUAUUGGAUAAUUGAUCCAAUAAUUAAACUUGAUUCAAAAUCAAGUUUAACUUUCAACACCCCCUCUUAAACUUGAUUUUGCUACUCCAAGCAAACUCCUCAUCUUGAUAAAGUUUUCACGCUUGAGAGGCUUGGUAAAAAAAUCGGCUACUUGAUCAUGUGUCUUCACAUACUCCAAUUGCACGUCCUUCUUGCUAACACACUCUCUAAUGUAGUGAUAGCGUGUGUCAAUGUGUUUACUUCGAUCAUGGAAGACCGGGUUCUUCGCCAAAGCUAUUGCCGACUUGUUGUCCACAAAGAUCUUCGUUGGUUCCUCUUGUGGUAAGCUUAACUCCUUCAAGAGGUUUCUUAACCAAAUAGCAUGGCAUACACAUGACGUAGCCGCUACAUACUCCGCUUCACAAGUGGAUAGAGUGACAAUUGGUUGUUUCUUCGACAUCCAUGUGAAAGCCGUGUCUCCAAUGUAAAACACAAAACCACUUGUACUCUUUCGGUCAUCUACGUCUCCACCCCAAUCGCUAUCGCUAUAUCCAACAAGCUUGUAAUCACUAGUAGUUGAAUAAUGUAAGCCAAAGUUUACAGUACCUUUGAUAUAGCGAAGAAUCCUUUUUGCCGCUUUGAAAUGAGUUGUUGUUGGAUGCUCCAUGUAACGACUAACAACUCCGACCGCAUAUAAAAUAUCGGGCCUUGUGCAUGUUAAGUAUCUCAAGCUUCCAACCAAGCUCUUAAAGGUUGUUGGAUCCACUCCUUCCCCUUCUUCUUUCUUUGAUAGUUUGAUUCCGCAUUCCAUUGGUGUACAAACGGGAUUUGAGUCAUCUAUCUUGAACUUCUUAAGUACCUCCUUAGCAUAGCCUUCUUGAGUUAUGAAUAUUCCAUUGUCUUCUUGUUUUACUUCAAUUCCGAGAUAGUAAGACAUCAAUCCAAUGUCCGUCAUCUCGAACUCCUUCGUCAUCUCUUUCUUGAAUUCUUCGAAUAUGCUUGGAUUGUUACCCGUGAAUAUCAAGUCAUCUACAUAUAAGCAUGCGAUCAAUAUAUCUUCUUUUUGAAUUUUGAUAUAGAGUGCAUGCUCAUAUGGACACUUGAUGAAAUCUUUCUCCUUGAAAUACUUGUCAAUUCGAGUAUUCCAAGCUCUUGGGGCUUGUUUUAAUCCAUAAAGCACCUUUUUUAGCCUCAAGACUUUGUCUUCUUCACCUUUGACUAUGUAGCCUUGUGGUUGCUCAAUGUAAACUUCUUCUUCAAGAUCUCCAUUUAAGAAGGCCGACUUGACAUCCAUUUGAUGUAUCUUCCACUUGUUUUGAGCCGCUAGUGAGAUGAUUAGUCUAACCGUUUCUAGACGAGCAACGGGAGCAAAUACCUCGUCAUAGUCAAUUCCGACUCUUUGACUAUAACCUUUUGCAACCAAUCUUGCUUUGUAUCUUUCCACUUCUCCUUUAGAGUUUUUCUUUGCUUUAUACACCCACUUCACGCCAAUUGCCUUGUGUCCAUUUGGAAGUGAAGUUAACUCCCAUGUGUCAUUCUUUUGUAUUGAUUUGAUCUCUUCAUCCAUGGCAUUUCUCCAAGUCUUCUUUUCAAUGGCUUUUUGGAAAUCCAUGGGUUCGCACUCCGCAAAUAAACAAAAUAAGGUAAGGUUUUCUUGAUUUUCGGUUACCUCAUAGAGCUCUUGUAUACUUCUAAAACGCGGAGUCCUUUCACUCGAACUUUCUUCUAUUUGAGAACUUGUUGGUGAAGUUGGUGGUGUAGUAGGCUCUUCACUUGGUGGCUCCUCUCUUGUUGGCUCCGGCUCAUCUUCUUCAAAAUGUGGAAAGAAGUUAUAAUCUUCUUCAUUUGAGUUCCAAUCCCAUUCUCCUUCUUCAUCGAACACUAUAUUUCGACUAAUAAUUGUCUUCUUCGUAUCGGGAUUAUAGAGCUUGUAGCCUUUGGAGUUGUUAUCAUAACCAAUGAAGAUAUACUUCUCACUUUUGUCAUCUAGUUUGCUCCGCUUCUCAUCCGGUACAUGAGCAUGAGCAAUACUUCCAAAGACUCUUAAAUGAGAAACACCGGGCUUUCUUCCGCUCCAAGCUUCUUGUGGUGUUUUUCCGGAGACACUUUUUGUUGGAGAUCGAUUUAAUAGAUAAACCGCACACGCGACCGCUUCCGCCCACAACUCUUUUGGUAGUCUCUUACUUUUGAGCAUGCUCCUUGCCAUCUCAAGAAUUGUUCUAUUCUUUCUUUCCACUACACCAUUUUGUUGAGGGGAUCUUGGCACCGUUAAUUGUCUUCGAAUGCCGUUGUCUUCACAAUACUUAAGAAACUCCUUGGAUGUAAAUUCUCCUCCACGGUCGGAUCUCAUGGUUUUGAUCACAAGACCACUCUCCUUCUCAACAUGGGCUUUAAACUUUUUGAAAAUUUCGAACACCUCGGAUUUUUCUUUCAAAAAAUAUACCCAUGUUUUUCUUGAAAAAUCAUCAAUAAAGAGAAGGAAGUAAUUACUUUUACCAAGUGAUUUCGGCUUGAUCGGACCACACACAUCGGUGUGUAUUAGCUCCAACGGUUUUUGUGCUCUUGAACUUGACUCCUUUGGAAAGCUCAUUUUGAAUUGCUUUCCAAGUAGACAUCCUUCACACACUUGAUUUGGAUGAUUUAUACAAGGUAGCCCUCUCACCAUUUCCUUCCUUGAAAGCAACUCCAAUCCUCCAAAAUUUAGAUGUCCGAAUCGAAGAUGCCAUAGCCAAGACUCCUCUUUGUAACACAUCUUAAGACAUUGUGCAAUGUCAUUUCGAAUGUUGAGGACAAACAUUCUAUUUUUCGACAUUGGCACCUUGGUAAUGAGAUUGCUUUCUUGGUCUCUUAUUGAAAGGUUAUUAUCUUUUAAUCUAAUAUCAUAACCUUUCUCUAAGAGUUGUCCAAGGCUCAAGAUGUUUGUCUUCAUGCUCGGAAUAUAGUAAACGUUGGAAAUAAAUUGAUGAUCUCCAUUCUUCAAUCGAAUGAGAAUGUUUCCUUUACCUUUUACCUCCAUCUUCGAUUCAUCUCCUAAAGCCACAUUUCCUCUCACCGAUUCAUCAAGCUCCGCGAACAUACUUUUUCUCCCGCACAUGUGAUUACUUGCACCACUAUCGAGGUACCACUUAUGAUUCUCUUUUUGUUCAUCUUUCUUGUAGCUAGCCAUUAAUAACAUGUCUUCUUCUUGAAUUUUUUCUUCAACGUAGUGGGCCUUCUCCUCAAAUUUUUUGUUGCUAGGAGCUUUACAUUCAGAAGCAUAAUGUCCAAACUUCCCACAAUUGUAGCAUUUGACACUUGAUUUAUCGUAUCUUGAUUUUGGGUGUCCUUUCCCACGACCUCUUGAUGAGUUUUCACCUCUUUGGUUUGUGUUGUCUUCAUGUGGCCUCCAACCACGUCCAUUUCCAUAUCCACCACGACCUCGUCCUCGUACUUGACCACCACCUCUUCUUUGGUAACUUUGGCCGUUUUCUUCUUUUGUAAUUUGCAUAUUGAGGACUUGUUCGGCGAUAUCUUCUUUCUUCUUCUUCUUUUCUUCAUAAGCUUGUAAUGACCCAAGAAGUUGCUCUAUUGUCAUAGCUUCUAAAUCUUUUGUUUCUUCAAUGACGGUGACAAUAUGCUCAAAUUUUAGAUCCAAUGAUCUAAGAACUUUCUCCAUGAUUCUCACAUCAUCUAGCUUCUCUCCGUUUCUUUUAAGGUUAUUAGUAACCGUCAACACUCUUGAGAAGUAAUCGGAGACGAGUUCACCUUCCUUCAUUUGUAGUGCUUCAAAUUCUCCUCUUAGAGUUUGAAGACGUACUUUCUUGACUUGAUCGGCACCUUUGUAAGAGGUUCGAAGCUUCUCCCAUGCUUCUUUCGCCGACGUAGCUUCAACGACCUUCUCGAACGUAUCUUCAUCUAAUCCUUGAUAGAUUAGACAGAGAGCUUUCUUGUCUCUCUUUCUUGAGUCUCUCAAACCAUCUUUUUGAGUUUGAGAAAGACUACCUUCAUUCUCCGGUUCAAUGAAACCUUUCUCAACUAUCUCCCACACGUCAUGUGCUCCUAGGAUAGCCUUCAUUCGUAGACUCCAAUUAUCAUAGUUGCUCUUUGUGAGCACCGGGACUUGGAAGGGAACAUUGUUACUCGCCAUCUUUAGGAUCUUCAAGCUCUGAUACCACUUUGUUAGAGUAAAAUUCUUUUAGAGGUAAUGGAGAAAGUGUUUAAGUGUUUUGAGAGAGUUUUUUAGGAAAUAGAACUUUUAUUACUUUGCUUUAAACUUGAAUACAACUUCACAACAUUGCAACAUUUGAGAGGGGGAGGAGGUAUUUAUAGCCUCCAAACUACAAAAUAUCUAAAAUAUUUUAAUCCUAAGUCUAGAGAGUUCUUACAUAAGAUCUAGAUUACAUUAUUCAAAUUAUCUAGAUUAUUCUAUUAGAGUAUCUAGAUUUUUAUGUUUAAGGAGGUGGAAGAUGAUUCUAGAAAAUUUCUAGAAUCUUUUAAGGAGGUGGAAAUGAUGAUAUUUCUAGAGAAAACUCUAGAACUUGGAUUUGGCCAUAAUUAAUUAUUGGAUAAUUGAUCCAAUAAUUAAACUUGAUUCAAAAUCAAGUUUAACUUUCAACAUCGUAUAGAAGAUACAACACUUUAUACCAG